UGGGGAAUAUUGCACAAUGGGCGCAAUCCUGAUGCAGCCAUGCCGCGUGUGUGAAGAAGGCCUUCGGGUUGUAAAGCACUUUCAGCGGGGAGGAAGGCGAUAAGGUUAAUAACCUUGUCGAUUGACGUUACCCGCAGAAGAAGCACCGGCUAACUCCGUGCCAGCAGCCGCGGUAAUACGGAGGGUGCAAGCGUUAAUCGGAAUUACUGGGCGUAAAGCGCACGCAGGUGGUCGGUCAAGUCGGAUGUGAAAUCCCCGGGCUUAACCUGGGAACUGCAUUCGAAACUGGCAGGCUAGAGUCUUGUAGAGGGGGGUAGAAUUCCAGGUGUAGCGGUGAAAUGCGUAGAAAUCUGGAGGAAUACCGGUGGCGAAGGCGGCCGCCUGGACAAAGACUGACGCUCAGGUGCGAAGGAGGGGGGAGCAAAAAGG
RNAcentral lists this ribosomal RNA (429 nucleotides) under Chloroflexota bacterium. RNAcentral's name for it is "Chloroflexi bacterium partial 16S ribosomal RNA". It matches the Rfam family "Bacterial small subunit ribosomal RNA", at positions 355 to 776 of the family's 1533-position model. The record is from RNAcentral. Lineage: Bacteria; Bacillati; Chloroflexota.